UACAACAUUAANUAAGAAUCAGAGUCUUUUUUUCGUCUAAAUGACAAAGUAUAUUUCUUUUUCUGCUGUUUCAAAAAAGUUUUCUGAUGAUACUUUUGAAAAAUGAACUUCAUUGAUUGAUUCAGAACACUUGUUACUUGAUAGUAUCUAUGGGUACUUUCCAACUUAAAAGAAAGGGGAAAUUACUCAACUUCCUGAAUGAUAUAUAUUUUGGUCGACUAGAUCUAGAUAUCGUACAAAUACAUUCUAUUACUCUAUUUAUUUGAGUAUCUCAGCCAAAUUAAAUUUUUUUAGAAGUUCAUUGUAUUUAAUCAAUAAAAUUCCCUCUUUUUUGUGUUUUUUUUUGUCCACUACUUAUUAUAUUAUUUUAUAUUAUUAUAUGAAAUAAAUCGAAAAAGUUCAGAUACAUCUCGAAAAACUGAAAUCAAGACUAGGAAUUUUUUACGAACAGGAUCAAAAAUCAUUACUCUUUUGACACAACAAAGGAAUUUUCUACACCCCUUUCUUGUCUCAAAGACUAGGAAGACGCUCCCCUCUUACUUAUGCUAAUAUCUAGUCCAAUUUUAUGACAUUGAAAUCUAGCAAUUGAAAUCUGGCAAUAGUAACAUAGGCACACCCUUUCAAUUUUGCUAAAAAAAAACAAAGAAAAGGGGGUAAAGUCAAAUAAAUAGUCUUCUUCAAAAUAAAUCUACCUAUUAUGACUUGAAAUGUCGUACAAGGAACUCUGUAGAAAAAAUAGUAUAAACAAGAAAAAGGUUUUUCAUAAAUUCAUUUUUUUUUGUCGUACAACAAGAAUUGAACCUGGAUGUCGAUAAAUCCGCGAGUCUAGAAAUUCAUUUCAGCCAAUUGAACCUUCUCAAACUGUUUCUUUUUAAGAACCAAAAAGAUUUGUGCCAAAAUAAUAGAUGCCAAGAAGAACAAAAGGCCUUGGACACGUAAUGGAUUUUGAUGUACUAUUUCUGCAUCUCCCUGGCCAAAUCCGCCCACAUUAGGAUUACUCGUUAAUGGUUGAUCAAAUUGGAUGGAUUCGUCCUCUGAAAUAAGAAGUUCUGGUCCUGGAGGGAUAAUAUCAACCACUUGAUGUCCAUCUUAUGGAUCUAUUAUGAAUAUUUCAUAUCACCCCUUUUCUUUUCGUAUGAUUUCGCUUACUAUACCCGCUACUGUAGCAUUAUAAACUGUAUUGUUACUCUUGCUUCUGUCGGGAUAAAUCUAACCCCUUCCCCUAUUCCCACCUAGGUAUAUAGGA
This 1246-nucleotide long non-coding RNA is filed under the name Olea europaea subsp. europaea. The record is from RNAcentral. Lineage: Eukaryota; Viridiplantae; Streptophyta; Magnoliopsida; Lamiales; Oleaceae.